GAGGAAAUAAAGAUCUGAGUUUAUCCCACACAAUUUUUCCUCCAGGAACCUCACCUGUUCCAAUGGGGAGGAUCUGAGAGUGCUCCCCAUGCGGCUCUGGCAGGCGGAGGCAGAGCAGCCCCGGUGAAGCCCUCCCAGACCCUCCUCCCUAAUCUCCAGUGGAAAGGAUGUUUUGUCAGAGGGCAAUUCCAAGACCUUAUCCCAGCCAAGACAAAAGGAACUCGGCACCACUCCAGCCCUCUCCAGACUUCCAGUCUCACCUAAUGAAAAAAAAUAUAUAAAAGCCAUAGAUGUCACACCACCUUCUCUUCUGUGUGUCAGUCGCCCCUGCCUCCCUCUUCUAAGAAGAUAUGUGGUUGUAUUGUAUUUAGAGCCUACAUGGAUAAUCCAGGCUAAUCUUCUCAUCCCAAG
This 411-nucleotide long non-coding RNA is filed under the name Equus caballus (horse). RNAcentral's name for it is "lncRNA (ENSECAG00000047307.1)". The record is from RNAcentral. Lineage: Eukaryota; Metazoa; Chordata; Mammalia; Perissodactyla; Equidae.